UCUUUCAAAUAUUGUUGAUUUGAAUUUUUGAGUAAUAAGUAGUGACUGUUUUGUAUUUGUAUUGUUUUGCGAGGACUAAUGCUAUUGACUUUGGUGUUUAACAUGAUCAAGCUCAAGUUACUUAGGUAUUAUUAGUUAAUGCCUUAUGUUGUAAUUUGUCUUUUUGAAAUUAUACUGAUUUAAAUUUUAAGUAAUGAGUAGUGACUAUUUUGCAUUUGUUUUGUUUUGCGAGGACUUAUGCUAUUGACUAAAGGACUCGAUUGGAUGUACCUCGUUAAUUGCGAUGCCUAUGCCUAGGUACUUUUAAAUACAUAUUUCCACACUUUUAAAUAUUGAGGUACGUAACAUUUGCUUUAAAUGUUGUAUAUGUAUCUUGGACCGUAAUUAACUUGAGUUUGAUGUAUCCCGGGUUCAACUUUAAGCUCAAGUAAAUUAGGUAUUAUUAGUUAACGCUUUAUAUGUUACUUUAUCUCUUUCAAAUAUUGUUGAUUUGAAUUUUUGAGUAAUAAGUAGUGACUGUUUUGUAUUUGUAUUGUUUUGCGAGGACUAAUGCUAUUGACUUUGGUGUUUAACGUGAUCAAGCUCAAGUUACUUAGGUAUUAUUAGUUAAUGCCUUAUGUUGUAAUUUGUCUUUUUUAAAUUAUACUGAUUUAAAUUUUAAGUAAUGAGUAGUGACUAUUUUGCAUUUGUUUUUUUUUGCGAGGACUUAUGCUAUUGACUAAAGGACUCGAUUGGAUGUACCUCGUUAAUUGCGAUGCCUAUGCCUAGGUACUUUCAAAUAUAUAUUUUCACACUUUUAAAUAUUGACUUACGGAACAUUUUGCUUAAAUGUUAGAUGUAUUUUGGACCGUAAUUAACUUGGUUUGAAUUCCCCGGGUUCAACUUUAAGCUCAAGUACAUUAGGUAUUAUUAGUUACGCCUUAUGUGUUACUUUAUCUGUUUUAAAUAUUUUGAUUAUAUUUUUUGAGUAAUAAGUAAGUUACUGUUUUGUAUUUGUAUUGUUUUUGCGAGACUAAUUCUAUUGUCCUUUGGUGUUUAAUAUGAAUCAUGCUCAAGUUAAUUAGGUCUUAUUUGUUAAUGUUCCUUAUGUUUGUAUUCUCUCUUGAAAUUGACUUAUUUAAUUUUAAGUAAUGAGUGAGUGCUAUUUUGCAUUUGUUUUGUUUUGCGAGAAUUUAUGCUAUUACUAAAUGACUCGAUUGGAUGUACCUCUUAAUGCAUGCCUAUGCCUAGGUACUUUCAAAUACAUUUUUCUACAGCCUUUACUUAUUGAGGUACGUGACCAUUUGGCUUUAAAUGUUGUUUGAUCUUGGACUGUAAUUAACUUGAGUUUGAUUAUCCCGGUUUCAACUUAAGCUCAAGUAAUAGGUAUUAUUAGUUAACGCCUUUAUGUGUUACUUUAUCUCUUUCAAAUAUUGUUUGAUUUGAUUUUUGAGUAAUAAGUAGUGACUUUUUGUCUUUGUAUGUUUGGGGGCUAGGACUAUUGCUAUGACUUUGGUGUUUAAAUUAUCAGCUCAAGUUACUUAGUAUUCUUAGUUAAUGCCUUCUGUUGGUAAUUUGUCUUUUUUAAAUUAUACUGAUUUAAAUUUUAAUUAUGAGUAGUGACUAUUUUGCAUUUGUUUUGUUUUGCGAGGACUUAUGCUAUUGACUAAGGACUGCGAUUGGAAUGUACCCGUAAGUUGCGAUCCAUGCCUAGGUACUUUCAAAUAAUAUUUCCACAUUUUUAAAUAUUGAGGUAACUAACAUUUGCUUUAAUGUUUGUAUCUGUAUCUUGGACCGUAACUAACUUGAGUUUGAACUUCCCUGGGUUCCACUUUAACUCAAGUAAAUUAGGUAUUAUUAGUUAACGCUUUUGUGUUACUUUAUCUCUUUCAUAAUGUUGAUUUGAUUUUUGAGUAAUAAGUAGUGACUGUUUUGUAGUUUUAUAUUGUUUUUGCGUGAGGACGGGAAUAUAUUGACUUGGUGUUUAACAUGAUCAAGCUCAAGUUACUUAGGUAUUUAUUAGUUAAUGCCUUAUGUUUAAUUUGUCUGUUUGAAAUUAUACUGAUUUAAAUUUUAAGUAAUGAUAUGACUAUUUUGCAAUUUGUUUUGUUUUGUGAGGACUUCUGGUAUUGACCAAGGACUCGUUGGUGUACCUCGUUAAUUGCGAUGCCUAUGCCAAGUACUUUCAAUACAUAUUCGACACCUUUAAAUAUUGAGGUACCGUAACAUUUGCGUUAAAUGUUUUGUAUGUUUAAUCUUAGCCCGUAAAUUACUUGAGUUUGAAGUUCCUCGGGUUCACUUUAAAGCUCAAUGUAAAAUAGGUAUUGUUAGUUACCGCCUUUGUUGUACUUUAUCUUCUUCAAAUCAUGUUGAUUUGAAUUUUUUGCGUAGAAGUAGUGACUGUUUUGUAGUUCUAUUGUUUUGCGAGGACGAAUGCUAUUGAAUUUGUGUUUAACAGAUCAAGCUCAAGUUACUAGGUAUUAUAUUGAAUGCCUUUGUUGUAAUUUGUCUUUUUGAAAUUAUACUGAUUUAAAAUUUUUAAGUAAUGAGUAGUGGCUAUUUGCAUUGGUUUGUUUUGCGAGGACGUAUGCUAUUGACUAAAGGACUCGAUUGGUGUACCUCGUUAAUUGGCGAUGCCUAUGCCUAGGUUACUUUCAAAACAUUUUUGCACACUUUUAAAUAUUGAGGUACGUAACAUUUUGGGUCUUUUAAAUGUUGCAAUGAAUCUUGGACGUAAUUACUUGAUUUUGAACUUCCCCGGAUUCAACUUUAGCGCAAGCAAAUUUAGUAUUAUUAGUUAACGCUUUUGUGGUUACUUUUAUCUGUUUUAAAUAAGUUGAUUUAUAUUUUUGCGUAAUAAGUAGUUACUGUUUUGUUAUGGUAUUGUUUUGCGAGGACUAUGCUAUUGCUUUGGUGUUUAACAUGAUCAAGCACAAGUUCUUAGGUAUUUUAUUAAUGCCUUAUGUUGUAAUUGUCUUUUUGACAUUGUACUGAUUUAAAUUUAAGUAUGAGUAGUGACUAUUUUGCAUUUGUUUGUUUUGCGAGGACUUAUGCGAUUGACUAAAGGACUCGAUUGGAUGUACCUCGUUAAUUGCGAUGCCUAUGCCUAGGUACUUUCAAAUACAUAUUUCCACACUUUUAAAUAUUGAGGUACGUAACAUUUGCUUUAAAUGUUGUAUAUGUACUUGGACCGUAAUUAACUUGAGUUUGAUGUUUCCCGGUUCAACUUUAAGCUCUAGUAAAUUAGUUAUUAUUAGUUAACCCUUUUAUUGUUACUUUUAUCUCUUUCAAAUUUUUUUUAUUUGCCUUUUUGCGUGCCUCCGUCGUUCCUGUUUUGUCUUUUUUACUUGUUUUUUGGGCGCGUCUACUGCUCCUUAUCCUUUGUGUUUUUCCCCUUCUCCCUCUCCCUUUCCUUUCGUUCUUCUUCUUUCCCUGCCUAUUGUUGUAUUUGUCUUUUUUAAAUUAUACUGAUUUUAAAUUUUUAAGUAAUGAGUAGUUACUAUUUUGCAUUUGUUUUUUUUUGCUAUGCCUUAUGUCUAUUGACCCAGGACUCUGAUUGGAUGUACCUCGUUAAUUGCGAUGCCUAUGCCUAGGUACUUUCAAAUACAUAUUUUCACAACUUUAAUAUUGACGUUACGGAACAUUUGCCUUUAAAUGUUAUAUGUAUUUUGGACCGUAUUAACUUGAGUUUGGAAGUUUCCCCGGGUUCAACCUUUAAGCUCCAAGUACAUAGGUAUUUAUUAGUUUAACGCCUUCUGUGUUUACUUUAUCUUUUUUAAAUAAUGUUUCUUAUAUUUUUCCUUGAAUAAGUAGUUUACUUGUUUGUAUUUGUAUUGUUUUGGCGAGGACUAAUGCUAAUGACUUUGGUGUUUAAUAUGAUCAAGCUCAAGUUAAUUAGGUAUUAUUUGUUAAUGCCUCUUAUGUUGUAAUUUCUCUCUUUGAAAUUGUACUUAUUUAAGUUUUAAGUAAUGAGUAGUGGCUAUUUUGAAUUUGUUUUGUUUUGCGAGAAUUUAUGCUAUUGACUAAAGGACUCGAUUGGAUGUACCUCGUUAAUUGCGAUGCCUAUGCCUAGGUACUUUCAAAUACAUAUUUCCACACCUUUAAUUAUUGAGGUACGUAACAUUUGCUUUAAAUGUUGUAUAUGUAUCUUGGACCGUAAUUAACUUGAGUUUGAUGUAUCCCGGGUUCAACUUUAAGCUCAAGUAAAUUAGGUAUUCUUAGUUAACGCCUUAUGUUUGUACUUUAUCUCUUUCAAAUAAGUUGAGUGAAUUUUUGUUAGUCAUAAGUAGUGCCUUUUUUUGUAUUUUUUUAUUUUUUUUGCUCUUACUCCUACUCUUUCCUUUUUUGUUUAAACAUGAUCAAGCCUCACGUUACUUAGGUUUUAUAGUUUAAUUCUUAUGUUGUAAUUUGUCUUUUUGAAUUAUACUGAUUUAAAUUUUUAAGUAAUGAGUCGUGGCUAUUUGGCUUUGUUUUGUUUUGCGAGGACUUCUGCUAUUGACUUAAAGGACUCGAUUGGAGUACCUCGUUAAUUGCGAUGCCUAUACCUAGGUACUUUCAAAUACAUAUUUCACACUGUUAAAUAUUGAAGUACGUAACAUUGUUUUUUAAAUGUUGGGUAUAUGUAUUUUGAACGCGUAAUUACACUUGAGUUGUUGAGGUUCCCGGGUUCAACUUUUAUCGCUCAGGUAAAUUAUUUCUUAUUAAGUUCACUCUUUAUUUUGUUCCUUUAUCUCUUUCAAAUAUUUUGAUUUGAAUUAUUGAGUAUAAGUUGAUUGUUUUGUAUUUUGUAUUGUUUUGUCGAUGACUAUCCGCUUGACUUUUGGUGUUUAACAUGAUCAAGCUCACGUUACUUAUGUAGUAUUAGUUUAAAGCCUUAUGUGUUAAUUUGUCUUUUUGAAAUUAUACUGAUUUAAAUUUUAAGUAAUGAUAAGUGACUAUUUUGCAUUUGUUUUUGGUUUUGCUAGGACUUAGGCGAUUGCUAAAGGACUCGAUUGGAUGUACCUCGUUAUUCGAUGCCUAUGCCUAGGUACUUUCAAAUACAUAUUUCCACACUUUUAAAUAUUGAGGUACGUACAUUUUGCUUUAAAUGUUGUAUAUUUGUAUCUUUGACCGUACUUAACUUGUAGUUUGAUUUUUUCCCGGGUUCAACUUUAAGCUCAAUAAAUUAGGUAUUAUGUUAACGCUUAUGUGUUUAUGUUCUCUUUCAAAUUGUUGAGUGCCUUUUUGUCGUCCUCCGUCGUGCCUGUUUUGUAUUGUAUGGUUUUGCGAGGACCAAUGCUAUUGACUUUGGUGUUUAACAUGAUCAAGCUCAGUUACUUAGGUAUUUAUUAGUUAAUGCCUUAUGUUUGUAAUUUGUCUUUUGAAAUUAUACUGAUUUAAAUUUUAAGUAAUGCAGUAUUGACUAAUUUGCAUUUGUUUUUGUUGUUGCCGAGUACUUAACAAUUGACUAAAGGACUCGAUUGGAUGUACCUCGUUAAUUGCGAUGCCUAUUCCUAGGUAACUUCAAAUACAUAAUUUUUACUUUUAAAUAUUGAGUCUAACAUUUGUUUAAAUGUUGUGUAUAUGUAUUUUGGAACCGUAAUUAACUUGAGUUUUUUGAAGUUCCCCGGGUGUCAACUUUCAGCUUUAGUAAAUUAUGUAUAUUAGUUAACGCUUUAUGUGUUACUCCUUUGUCUCUUCAAUAAUGUUGAUUUGAAUUAUGAUUAAUAAUUAGUGACUGGUUUUGUAUUUGUAUUGUUUUUUUGCGAGGACUAAAGCAUUGACUUUGGAUGUUUAAUAUGAGCAAGCUCAAGUUAUUAGGUAUUAUUUGUUAAUGUCUUAUGUUGUAAUUUCUCUCUUUGAAAUUGUACUGAUUUAAAUUUUCAGUAAUGAGUAGUGACUAUUUUGCAUUUGUUUUGUUUUGCGAGGACUUAUGCUAUUGGACUAAAGGACUCGUUGGAUGUACCUCGUAAUUGCGAUGUCCUAUACCUAGGUACUUUCAAAUACAUAUUUUCACACUUUUAAUAUUGAGGUCGUAACAUUUGUUUUAAAUGUUGUUAUGUAUCUUGACCGAUAAGAACUUUAGUUUGAACUUCCCGGGUUCAACUUUAAGCUCAAGUAAAUUAG
Molecule: long non-coding RNA, 6084 nt
Filed under: Actinidia chinensis (golden kiwifruit)
Lineage: Eukaryota; Viridiplantae; Streptophyta; Magnoliopsida; Ericales; Actinidiaceae
Description: long non-coding RNA (ACHI_LNC000287)
Source: RNAcentral